AUGUACCACUCGUACACUCCGGUUCUGAGCGCACUGUCCGCACCCACCUGACGACCGCUCGCUACGUUUUAUUCGCC
RNAcentral lists this small RNA (77 nucleotides) under Xanthomonas arboricola. Its description in RNAcentral is "sRNA sX9". It matches the Rfam family "Xanthomonas sRNA sX9". Lineage: Bacteria; Pseudomonadati; Pseudomonadota; Gammaproteobacteria; Lysobacterales; Lysobacteraceae. The record is from RNAcentral.